GUACACGCUGUGACUAGCAUAUCAAUAAGCGGAGGAAAAGAAACUAACAAGGAUUCCCCUAGUAACGGCGAGUGAAGCGGGAAGAGCUCAAAUUUGAAAUCUUAAAGGGUUUCCCUUUACGAAUUGUAGUUUAAAGAAGUGUUUUCUGUUGAGGUUUUGGUAAAAGUUCUUUGGAAUAGGACAUCAUAGAGGGUGAGAAUCCCGUAUUUGACCUUUACUUUCAACUUUGUGAUACACUUUCAAAGAGUCGGAUUGUUUGGGAAUGCAGUCCAAAAUGGGUGGUAAAUUUCAUCUAAAGCUAAAUAUUGGCGAGAGACCGAUAGCGAACAAGUACCGUGAGGGAAAGAUGAAAAGAACUUUGAAAAGAGAGUUAAACAGUACGUGAAAUUGUCAAAAGGGAAGCGUUCGACACCAGUGUUGUUUUUCUGAAAAUCAAUUAAAGAACUGUUUAUGCUAAGUUGUUUAGACUUUAUCAGCUAACUGUUUAGUUUUGAGCUUUUCUUUAAUGCACUUUUCAGUUAACAAGUCAACAUCAAUUUCUUUUGCUGUAAAAAAGCUUGAGGAAGGUGGCUUGAGAUUCGUCUUAAGUGUUUAUAGCCUCUUGCCUAUGCAGUCGGAGAGAUUGAGGUCUGCAGCGUAGAUCCUUCGGGGCUAAAUGCAUUUGUGCUAAGUUAUAGCAUUUCAUAGACAACUUGUUGACUAUGAUUUGUCUUGUAGCUUACUCGCUUAUGUUAUUUUACCUACGCUUAGGAUGUUGACGCGCGUGUGUGCGUG
RNAcentral lists this ribosomal RNA (774 nucleotides) under uncultured Neocallimastigales. RNAcentral's name for it is "partial large subunit ribosomal RNA". It matches the Rfam family "Eukaryotic large subunit ribosomal RNA", at positions 22 to 644 of the family's 3401-position model. The record is from RNAcentral. Lineage: Eukaryota; Fungi; Neocallimastigomycota; Neocallimastigomycetes; Neocallimastigales.